GAGUUUGAUCUUGGCUCAGAUUGAACGCUGGCGGCAUGCCUUACACAUGCAAGUCGAACGGCAGCAUGAUCUAGCUUGCUAGAUUGAUGGCGAGUGGCGAACGGGUGAGUAAUACAUCGGAACGUGCCCUGUAGUGGGGAGUAACUAGUCGAAGAUUAGCUAAUACCGCAUACGACCUGAGGGUGGAAAGUAGGGGGACCGGCAAGGCCUCACGCUAUAGGAGCGGCCGAUGUCUGAUUAG
Molecule: ribosomal RNA, 241 nt
Filed under: uncultured microorganism
Description: partial 16S ribosomal RNA
Rfam family: Bacterial small subunit ribosomal RNA
Source: RNAcentral